Small nucleolar RNA from Ursus americanus (American black bear), 130 nucleotides. The record is from Ensembl. Lineage: Eukaryota; Metazoa; Chordata; Mammalia; Carnivora; Ursidae.
AUGCAUUUAUUUGACGGACCUGGAGCAGUUACUGUCUGUUGCUAACGUUUCCAAAUGCAGGAAAGAAGUGUCCUCUUGCAUUCUGUCUGCCUGAUUGUGGCAACCAAGAUUUAAUGGGGGGAACACAGGA